GCUCAGCCCACGCCUUUAGCUAAGCUGGGUUUGAUCACUGGGAGACCUGAGUUUGCCCUACCCUGUGCUGCUCUUCUGCAGCUCUCUUGGCUUACUGUCCCCCUGGGAGCUGGAGCUGGGACUUCCCCAGGGUGAGCCAGAGCUGUUUGCUUUUCUGGAAGCUUUGCUCUGGCCGUGCCAAAGGAGCUUGCUGGGGAUGUGCAACAAACCGGAGAGUUACAGCUCACCUGGGGCACUUCUGCCUUCCGAAGAGGGAUUGAAUGAAUAUUGCUGACUGCAGCCGCUGGCCCAGAGGCAAGAAGUGCCUGAAAGGCACGAGGCCAGUGACACGCAGACAGCCGGGGAGGUUUCUUGUUGUGCAUCGCUCCUCCUGCAGAGCUGAAAUGAGCCUUUAAUGUCGCAGAGGCCACUGUGACACCAGGCAGAAGCAAAAGAGGGAAAACAAUGAAUAAAUAAACCUAAGGCUUGUGUGAGUGC
Long non-coding RNA from Harpia harpyja (harpy eagle), 477 nucleotides. RefSeq lists it as uncharacterized. NCBI's taxonomy places the organism in Eukaryota, Metazoa, Chordata, Aves, Accipitriformes, Accipitridae. The transcript is spliced from 3 exons. The record is from RefSeq and is a predicted model, not a curated record.